CUCUCUCUCUCUCUCUCUCUCUCAGACAAAACUUAACCCUUCUUUCUUUCUUUCUUUCUUUCUUUCUUCCAUUUUCACUCCUCUCUCUUUUUCCUUCAAACCCUUGAACCACCGCCUGUUUACGGCCACCACACAUCCGCCAACACUGUCACUCCGCUGCGCGGGACCAAACAACAACCACCACUUUCAGAUUAUACGCGAUUAUUUCUCUUUUCCUUUCACUCUAUUGAUUUCAGGGUUUGUGCUUCUAAUCCUCAUUGUUUUGAUUUUCGAUUUUAGGUUUUGCCAUCAAAAAACAUGUCUUAUUGCUUAUUUCUGACCACUGUGAAUCGUAUCCCUUGCAAGCUUAUUAUAAGAGUAUUUGAAAGAAGAAAACACUCAGAUCCUGCAACAACAAACAAAUUACAUGAGUUUCAAUUUUUCAAUCUCUUCUUAUUGUUGAUUUAAGGAUUGCAAUCAUGGUGUUUGGAACAAACUUCAUAGGUAAAGCAAACUGGAAGCCCUUACUUUCGGUCAACAAAAUGAUGCAAACACUCUAACAUUUUCUCAAUAUGAUGCAAUUGUUGCUGAACCUGAACAAGAACCAAAAUCAUAUGGAAACUCACCACUUCCCUUAG
Vicia villosa (hairy vetch) is the source of this 617-nucleotide long non-coding RNA. RefSeq lists it as uncharacterized. Lineage: Eukaryota; Viridiplantae; Streptophyta; Magnoliopsida; Fabales; Fabaceae. The record is from RefSeq and is a predicted model, not a curated record. The transcript has 4 exons.